AUUGAACGCUGGCGGCAGGCCUAACACAUGCAAGUCGAGCGGAGCGGCGGAAGGGUGAGUAAUGCCUAGGAAUCUGCCAGGUAUUGGGGGCUAACGUCCGGACACGGGCGCUAAUACCGACAAAUAUAAGAUAAGCCUAGGUCGGAUUAGCUAGGUGGUGGGGUAAAGGCCUACAAAGCCGACGAUCCGUAACUGGUCUGAGAGGAUGAUCAGUCACACUGGAACUGAGACACGGUCCAGACUCCUACGGGAGGCAGCAGUUGGGAAUAUUGGGCAAUGGGCGAAAUCCUGAUCCAGUCAUGCCGCGGGUGUGAAGAAGGUCUUCGGAUUUUAAAGCACUUUAAGUUGGGAGGCGUUACCAACAGAAUAAGCACCGGCUAACUUCGUGCCAGCAGCCGCGGUAAUUC
RNAcentral lists this ribosomal RNA (407 nucleotides) under uncultured bacterium. RNAcentral's name for it is "partial 16S ribosomal RNA". It matches the Rfam family "Bacterial small subunit ribosomal RNA", at positions 30 to 526 of the family's 1533-position model. The record is from RNAcentral.